Molecule: ribosomal RNA, 432 nt
Filed under: Eremocosta calexicensis
Lineage: Eukaryota; Metazoa; Arthropoda; Arachnida; Solifugae; Eremobatidae
Also listed under: 1 other name
Description: partial 16S ribosomal RNA
Rfam family: Bacterial large subunit ribosomal RNA
Source: RNAcentral
AGUGAUAUAUUAAAUAGCCGCAGUAUCUUGACUGUGCAAAGGUAGCAUAAUAAAUUGUCUUUUAAUUGGAGGCUGGAAUGAAUGAUAGGAUGUGAUGGAUUCUGUCUUUAUGGUAAUUGAUUGAAAUUUACCUUUUGAUGAAAAGGUUAAGAUUUUGUUGGUAGACGAGAAGACCCUAUCAAGCUUUAUUUAAGUUGCAGUUUGACUUUUUUUAUUUGUAGGUGUAUUGUGAUUUGAAUUUUGUUGGGGCAAUGUUUGAAUAUAUUGUAAUUUUUUAUUUUUUAUUUUGUUUUGAUCCGCUAUUAGUGAUUAAAGGAGUAAGUUACUGUAGGGAUAACAGCGUGAUUAUUUUGGAGAGUUCAUAUCGGUAAAAUGGAUUGCGACCUCGAUGUUGGUUUAAUGAUUCUUUAGGGUGCAGUAGCUUUAUUAGAG